GAUGAACGCUGGCGGCGUGCCUAAUACAUGCAAGUCGAGCGGUAACACUUCGGGUGACGAGCGGCGGACGGCUGAGUAACACGUAGGAACGUACCCCAAACUGAGGGAUAAGCACCGGAAACGGUGUCUAAUACCGCAUGUGGUCUUCGGAUUAAAGCUUCGGCGGUUUGGGAACGGCCUGCGCAUGAUUAGCUUGUUGGUGAGGUAACGGCUCACCAAGGCGACGAUCCGUAGCUGGUCUGAGAGGAUGAUCAGCCACACUGGAACUGAGACACGGUCCAGACUCCUACGGGAGGCAGCAGUGGGGAAUAUUGGACAAUGGGCGAAAGCCUGAUCCAGCCAUGCCGCGUGUGUGAAGAAGGUCUUCGGAUUGUAAAGCACUUUAAGUUGGGAGGAAGGUCUGUAAGCUAAUAUCUUGCAGUCUUGACGUUACCAACAGAAUAAGCACCGGCUAACUCUGUGCCAGCCGCCGCAGUAA
This 478-nucleotide ribosomal RNA is filed under the name uncultured bacterium. Its description in RNAcentral is "partial 16S ribosomal RNA". It matches the Rfam family "Bacterial small subunit ribosomal RNA", at positions 28 to 523 of the family's 1533-position model. The record is from RNAcentral.